This 1372-nucleotide ribosomal RNA is filed under the name uncultured bacterium. Its description in RNAcentral is "bacterial SSU rRNA". It matches the Rfam family "Bacterial small subunit ribosomal RNA", at positions 28 to 1381 of the family's 1533-position model. The record is from RNAcentral.
GAUGAACGCUGGCGGCGUGCCUAAUACAUGCAAGUCGAGCGAACGGACGAGAAGCUUGCUUCUCUGAUGUUAGCGGCGGACGGGUGAGUAACACGUGGAUAACCUACCUAUAAGACUGGGAUAACUUCGGGAAACCGGAGCUAAUACCGGAUAAUAUUUUGAACCGCAUGGUUCAAAAGUGAAAGACGGUCUUGCUGUCACUUAUAGAUGGAUCCGCGCUGCAUUAGCUAGUUGGUAAGGUAACGGCUUACCAAGGCAACGAUGCAUAGCCGACCUGAGAGGGUGAUCGGCCACACUGGAACUGAGACACGGUCCAGACUCCUACGGGAGGCAGCAGUAGGGAAUCUUCCGCAAUGGGCGAAAGCCUGACGGAGCAACGCCGCGUGAGUGAUGAAGGUCUUCGGAUCGUAAAACUCUGUUAUUAGGGAAGAACAUAUGUGUAAGUAACUGUGCACAUCUUGACGGUACCUAAUCAGAAAGCCACGGCUAACUACGUGCCAGCAGCCGCGGUAAUACGUAGGUGGCAAGCGUUAUCCGGAAUUAUUGGGCGUAAAGCGCGCGUAGGCGGUUUUUUAAGUCUGAUGUGAAAGCCCACGGCUCAACCGUGGAGGGUCAUUGGAAACUGGAAAACUUGAGUGCAGAAGAGGAAAGUGGAAUUCCAUGUGUAGCGGUGAAAUGCGCAGAGAUAUGGAGGAACACCAGUGGCGAAGGCGACUUUCUGGUCUGUAACUGACGCUGAUGUGCGAAAGCGUGGGGAUCAAACAGGAUUAGAUACCCUGGUAGUCCACGCCGUAAACGAUGAGUGCUAAGUGUUAGGGGGUUUCCGCCCCUUAGUGCUGCAGCUAACGCAUUAAGCACUCCGCCUGGGGAGUACGACCGCAAGGUUGAAACUCAAAGGAAUUGACGGGGACCCGCACAAGCGGUGGAGCAUGUGGUUUAAUUCGAAGCAACGCGAAGAACCUUACCAAAUCUUGACAUCCUUUGACAACUCUAGAGAUAGAGCCUUCCCCUUCGGGGGACAAAGUGACAGGUGGUGCAUGGUCGUCGUCAGCUCGUGUCGUGAGAUGUUGGGUUAAGUCCCGCAACGAGCGCAACCCUUAAGCUUAGUUGCCAUCAUUAAGUUGGGCACUCUAAGUUGACUGCCGGUGACAAACCGGAGGAAGGUGGGGAUGACGUCAAAUCAUCAUGCCCCUUAUGAUUUGGGCUACACACGUGCUACAAUGGACAAUACAAAGGGCAGCGAAACCGCGAGGUCAAGCAAAUCCCAUAAAGUUGUUCUCAGUACGGAUUGUAGUCUGCAACUCGACUACAUGAAGCUGGAAUCGCUAGUAAUCGUAGAUCAGCAUGCUACGGUGAAUACGUUCCCGGGUCU